RNAcentral lists this unclassified non-coding RNA (375 nucleotides) under uncultured Actinomycetes bacterium. RNAcentral describes it as "uncultured actinobacterium contains 16S-23S intergenic spacer region". The record is from RNAcentral. Lineage: Bacteria; Bacillati; Actinomycetota; Actinomycetes.
UCCGGUUUGUCACCGGCAGUCUGGCGCGAGUCCCCAACUUAAUGAUGGCAACACGCCACGGGGGUUGCGCUCGUUGCGGGACUUAACCCAACAUCUCACGACACGAGCUGACGCCAGCCAUGCAGCAUCUGUGGUGCACCCUCGAAGGUCACACGUUUCCGUGCGCUUGCAGCACCAUGUCAAGUCCAGGUAAGGUUCUUCGCGUUGCAUCGAAUUAAAGAACAUGCUCCGCUGCUCGUGCGGGCCCCCGUCAAUUCUUUUGAGUUUUAGUCUUGCGACCGUACUCCCCAGGCGGAGUGCUUAAUGCGUUAGCUGCGGCACCGGGGGGGUCGAUACCCCCAACACCUAGCACCCAUCGUUUACAGCGUGGACUAC